AACCUUAUGGACCUGCGGGCGUAUACCUGCGGAAGGAUCAUUACAAGUGACCCCGGUCUAACCACCGGGAUGUUCAUAACCCUUUGUUGUCCGACUCUGUUGCCUCCGGGGCGACCCUGCCUUCGGGCGGGGGCUCCGGGUGGACACUUCAAACUCUUGCGUAACUUUGCAGUCUGAGUAAACUUAAUUAAUAAAUUAAAACUUUUAGCAAUGGAUCU
RNAcentral lists this unclassified non-coding RNA (218 nucleotides) under soil metagenome. Its description in RNAcentral is "partial contains 5.8S ribosomal RNA, internal transcribed spacer 2, and large subunit ribosomal RNA". The record is from RNAcentral.